This is a non-coding RNA of Cavia porcellus (domestic guinea pig), 2072 nucleotides long. The record is from the annotation of a RefSeq genome assembly. NCBI's taxonomy places the organism in Eukaryota, Metazoa, Chordata, Mammalia, Rodentia, Caviidae.
CCCAGUCCAGGAGCACAGAUUCUAUAAAAGAAACCUUUGCAAUGAAAUCUGAACUGCAUUGCACCAGACAGGACAGCAAGAUGGUAGUGCCCCAGAAUCCAACCCUGUUGGCUCUGGCUCUGUUGCUCUGGGUCGCUGGUGUGUGUGGUGACAUUGUGAUGACCCAGUCUCCAGGCUUUCUGGCAGUGUCUGCUGGAGAGAGCAUCACCAUUCACUGCAAGUCCAGCCAGAGUCUUCUACAUAGUUAUAUCAGUGAGAAUCUCUUAUCCUGGUACCAGCAGAAACCAGGACAAUCUCCCAAACUGCUCAUCUACUGGGCAUCCUCCCGGGUAUCUGGAAUCCCAGACCGGUUCAGUGGCAGUGGUUCUGGCAUGGAUUUCACUCUCACCAUCAGCAAUGUGCAGGCUGAAGAUGUGGCAUAUUAUUACUGCCAGCAGGGUAUUAGUGCUCCUCCCACUGUGAUUCAGCCUCGAACAUAAACUUCCUCUCAGGAUCUCGCCAGCUGCCUAUUCCCCACUUACCCCAGGGCUUCAGCACUUCCUCCUGCUCCCCGAGAGACUUCACUGGUGCACGCUUGAGUUAUUUUGCAGAAGUUUAUUGAACAUAAAGCAUCUCAGUGUCUCUUUACUCUUUUGUACUUGGAAGGCCAUAUGGGAAAUGUAGUAAAAAUUUCUAUUUCUUGUGUAUUAAUAAUUCAAUGGCAUUAGAAUAUAAAAGCCAUCAUUUUAACUCUUUAGGGUAAAUAUGUGGGAAGGAAAUAUUAGGGUCAAAGACAGUCUAGUUCUAUAUUUGAGGAAUCUGCAUGCUGAUUUUCAUAGUGUUUAUACUAAUAUGCACUACUAUAAACAGCAGAGAAGGCGUCUUGUUCUCUAUAGCCUCACCAGCAUUUGUUAUUGAUUCAUUUCUACAUAAUGGAGAUUUUUUCUGGAAUGUGAUGAAAUUUUAGUAUUGAUUUGAUUUACAUUUCCUGAAUGAUCAUUGAUGUUAAACAUUGUCCCAUGUACUUAUUUGUUGUUUGUAUUUCUUCUCCUAGAAAUGUGCUCAUUUCAGAGGCUUAUUUUUGGAUUGGGUCACAGCAAUAUAUGCACACCUUUGUAAAUGGCACAGUUUGUGACAACUAAGUGUUGGGAAUAGUCUACAUGUUUAUUAGAAGAAGAAUGCAUAUAGAAAAUGUGGUGUUUCUACACAAUGGAGUAAUAUGCUGCCAUAUAGAACCAUAGACUUGAGACAUAUUUGGGUAAAUGUGUGCAGCCUGAGAACACAAUAAGUGAAAUAUGUGAGACAUACACAUUUUAAGAUUGCAGUAUUUCUCUGGGGUGAGAAAGUCACAGUCAAAUUAAGAAGCAAACCAGAAGACAGAUUUAGACCAGCAGCAUAAGUAGAAAGAAAGUGUUCAAAUGGCAAGGUGAACACAGGAGGGACAUGGGGUUGGAAAAGAAGGGCAUGUGAUUAAAAAUUUUUAAAAAAAUAAUGGAAGGAAGGCAAUAGGAAUAAAAUUCUGUAAAUGGAGAAGGAAAGAAUGAUUGAAAGGAAGGGAAUGGGUAAAAAAGAUGAAGUACAAUAUAUUAUGUACAGGUACAAAUUUUCUAGGUUGAAUGUAAUUAUUACGUAUGUCAAAUGUUACUUAUAAAAUUCCUUUAAAGAAAAAAUUCCUGUUUGGAGCCUCCCGGAAAAAAAAAAAAUUAUUCCCUUGACUUUCUUGGGGCUUGAAGUCUUCUGCUUUUCUUGGCCAGAAGCCUUUCUCCUCCAAAUUCAGAGCCAGCAGAGAUGUAGCUCUCUAACAUUGGUUCCAGCAUCAUAUUUUCCUUUGCAUUUCCCUUCUCUAACUUCACACUAAUUAGUAUAAUUGUGUGCUUAGUUGAGCCUGCCCUCCAGUUCCCUCAUCUCUCAUGAGUCAACCAAUUUCAGUGCCUUGGGAGGGGAAAUUUUGAGUCUCUAUGGGAACAGGGUACUAAGUGCACUCUUUUACAAGAUAAGGACAAUGAAAUUAAUGAGUUGACAGACACUCAAUGAAAAGGUAAAUAAAUGUAUUUCCUGUAAGAAAUAAAAUAAAAGAACAAGAGCCUAUGAGA